This 320-nucleotide unclassified non-coding RNA is filed under the name Hevea brasiliensis (rubber tree). Lineage: Eukaryota; Viridiplantae; Streptophyta; Magnoliopsida; Malpighiales; Euphorbiaceae. The record is from RNAcentral.
GUUUUUGCAAAAUAUUAGUUUUAAGCUAAAUAGCUAAAAUGUGUAAUUAUGUGAGAAUUGUUUGAUUUAGUGGGCCCAGGAGGGGCAUUGUGUAGGGGCAUUGUGUUGUUGUUGUGUUAUAAGCUUGAGGCUUUUGGAUUAAGAAGUAUUAGUUGGAUUGUUUUACCGGUUGAGUAGGUCCUAGGUACAGAGGAAACUUUGUUGGAUUUCUAGCAUAAAUUUAAGAUGUAUUUGACUCUUUAGUUCUUUGCUUUGAUUCAUUAUUGAUAAAUUCUUGAAAAUAAAUGUUUAGGUGAUCCGAGUCAAUUCUCCUCUUUUUU